GCACUGCUGAAGAGUCCCAUAAUAGAACAAAACGGUCGUCCAGUGC
Molecule: non-coding RNA, 46 nt
Organism: Schistosoma haematobium
Lineage: Eukaryota; Metazoa; Platyhelminthes; Trematoda; Strigeidida; Schistosomatidae
Source: Rfam